AGUGAACGCUGGCGGUAGGCCUAACACAUGCAAGUCGAACGGCAGCACAGUAAGAGCUUGCUCUUACGGGUGGCGAGUGGCGGACGGGUGAGGAAUACAUCGGAAUCUACUUUUUCGUGGGGGAUAACGUCGGGAAACUUACGCUAAUACCGCAUACGACCUACGGGUGAAAGCAGGGGAUCUUCGGACCUUGCGCGAUUGAAUGAGCCGAUGUCGGAUUAGCUAGUUGGCGGGGUAAAGGCCCACCAAGGCGACGAUCCGUAGCUGGUCUGAGAGGAUGAUCGGCCACACGGGAACUGAGACACGGUCCAGACUCCUACGGGAGGCAGCAGUGGGGAAUAGUGGACAAUGGGCGCAAGCCUGAUCCAGCCAUACCGCGUGGGUGAAGAAGGCCUUCGGGUUGUAAAGCCCUUUUGUUGGGAAAGAAAAGCAGCAGGUUAAUACCCCGCUGUUCUGACGGUACCCAAAGAAUAAGCACCGGCUAACUUCGUG
Molecule: ribosomal RNA, 492 nt
Filed under: uncultured bacterium
Lineage: Bacteria
Description: partial 16S ribosomal RNA
Rfam family: Bacterial small subunit ribosomal RNA
Source: RNAcentral